CUUGCCAUAGAGACCCCACCCUGAGCACACCUGAGCUCAUCUAAUCUCAGAGGCUCAGCAGGGUCGGGCUGAGUUGGGACUUGGACAGGGAAAGUCACUCCUCGAGUAUAUGGAGAGG
This 118-nucleotide ribosomal RNA is filed under the name Otolemur garnettii (small-eared galago). The record is from RNAcentral. Lineage: Eukaryota; Metazoa; Chordata; Mammalia; Primates; Galagidae.